UGCUACUAUUAAAUAUACGAUUUGUGUGUAUGAAAUGAGUAAAAGUAACCUUGCUUUGUUUUGAGAUUUAGAUCAAGUGCGUAAGUUUGAAAUCAUUUUUCAUACAGUAUUAUAUAUGUGCAGCCUAUCAGCGUUUUCGUCAUGGCUAAAGUUUUCUCUGAGCCGUGAGUAUAGUCUAGAACUUCAGAAACAAGUGUUAACAGUCUUAAGAAUUUCAUGAUCUUUUUAUGUCUCAUAUUACUGCUUGCUGGUGUUUUGACAGGAGUCAAAAAGUGGUAUGAACCAGAAUGGUGGAAGUUUGGUGAUAAAAAAUCCUCCUAUCAUCAUUAGUUUUGUCAAGGAACAAGCACUACAAAAAAUAAUUUAUGUAAUUGGUGAGUACUAUGUCUGUAUGUAUAUGCAUCUGGGUUUCUAUAUGAACUCUCAUUUAAAGAUGUUAUGCAGAAAAGUCUGUUUUCUUAACCAAACUAUCAUGGGGUGAAGCUUUUGUUUAUAUUUCUUACAUGUUCCUAAUUUUGGGUCUUGGUGGAAUCUCUGUGUGUGUGUGUGUGUGCACGGUGCAUAUUAUGGUCAUGACUGGUAUCAAAGAUAUGGUUACUUUUCUGUAGAAUUGUGAGUUUUAUACGGGUUUUUAGUGACAGUGUACAUGUUGAUGGUGGUGUAUAUGCAUAUGUGCAUAUCCAUAUGUAGUUGCUAAGUAUAUUCAUGAUUAAGAUUAAAGAUGGUAUUUUUCGGAAGAAUUGCAAUUUCAACAAGCUUGAUUAUAUGGGAUUUAAGCGAUAGUGUUGUAUAUGGGGUUUUGCAUACGCAAAAAAGUCUAUAUGCAGCUGACAUCAAAGAUGGUAUACUGAAAUUAUGUUUCUGCAUCCAACAAAUAUUUUCGCCAUGCUUCAUGUGAGAUGUAUUACAUUUCUCAAGGUCUGGCCAAAUUUGUUUGAAUAAAUAGAUAUAUUCUCCGUAUCAGUGUCGGAUCUUGGUUUAUUGGGCUUCAUGUUAAACAUCUUAAUGACGCCAAGUUUUGCUGCUCCUCUUGGACAGGAGGUCCGUCUCUCUCCCUCACACACAUACACAAGUUACGAUAUAAAAUUUGGUGCCAGCCCGUGCCGAUUCAGUUGAUUUACUUCUUAAGGUGUUUUUUGUUACGGGAGCCAUUUGUGCUGGUGUAUGAUUUGAUUUGCUUUGAGGUGGUGCAUCAAAGUAAAACCAGAUGCAGGGAGAUGGUUUAAAAGACAUUGGAUUCAUAUCGGUGAGAUGUUUGCAGCCUGCACAAUAUAGAGUAUGAAGAUUGAGGAAAAAUCAUAGCUGUGAUUGAGAAUUUAUUCCAAGUGUCUUACCCGUAGGUGAAGUAGCUUUGUUCCCAUUACAGUACACUUCAUAUAGGAAAGAAGGGAUUUCAACAAACUAUGCCUAGAGAGGGCAGUCGGUAUAGCUUUAUAUGUUCAGUAACACAAAUUUUACAGUGUAAUAGAGGGUGUUCUUAUUGCAACAUAAUCACACAUUUCUUUUGUAGCAUGUUGAUUCUUCUUGGGUUAUUCUUUAUUCA
Molecule: long non-coding RNA, 1543 nt
Organism: Rosa rugosa (rugosa rose)
Lineage: Eukaryota; Viridiplantae; Streptophyta; Magnoliopsida; Rosales; Rosaceae
Exons: 3
Source: RefSeq, a predicted model, not a curated record